UUGGAGGGCAAGUCUGGUGCCAGCAGCCGCGGUAAUUCCAGCUCCAAUAGCGUAUAUUAAAGUUGCUGCAGUUAAAAAGCUCGUAGUUGAAUUUCGGGACCAUCAUGUCGGUCGUGCCUCGGUACGUACUGGUAUUGUUGGUUUCUCCCUUCUGACGAACCAUGAUGUCAUUAAUUUGGUGUCGUGGGGAAUCAGGACUGUUACUUUGAAAAAAUUAGAGUGUUUAAAGCAGGCGCACGCUUGAAUACAUUAGCAUGGAAUAAUGAAAUAGGACGUUUGAUUCUAUUUUGUUGGUUUCUAGGAUCACCGUAAUGAUUAAUAGGGAUAGUUGGGGGCAUUAGUAUUCAAUUGUCAGAGGUGAAAUUCUUGGAUUUAUUGAAGACUAACUUCUGCGAAAGCAUUUGCCAAGGAUGUUUUCAUUAAUCAAGAACGAAAGUUAGGGGAUCGAAGACGAUCAGAUACCGUCGUAGUCUUAACCAUAACUAUGCCGACUAGGGAUCGGACGAUGUUAAUUUUUUAAUGACUCGUUCGGCGCCUUACGGGAAAC
Molecule: ribosomal RNA, 547 nt
Filed under: uncultured Glomeraceae
Lineage: Eukaryota; Fungi; Glomeromycota; Glomeromycetes; Glomerales; Glomeraceae
Description: SSU rRNA
Rfam family: Eukaryotic small subunit ribosomal RNA
Source: RNAcentral